UCAAGCAUUAAGAGCGCAGGGUGGAUGCCUUGGCACUGAGAGCCGAUGAAGGACGUGAUAAGCUGCGAAAAGCUUCGGGGAGGAGCAAAUAUCCAUUGAUCCGGAGAUAUCCGAAUGGGGAAACCCACUUGAGCAAACCUCAAGUAUCCAUACGCCAAUCCAUAACGUAUGGAAGGGAACCGGGGGAACUGAAACAUCUAAGUACCCCGAGGAGAAGAAAGAAACCUCGAUUUCCAAAGUAGCGGCGAGCGAAAUGGAAAGAGCCCAAACCGUGGUGCGUGCACCGCGGGGUUGUGGACUGCAUAAGGUACUCGAAUCAAUAGCCGAACAGUUUUGGGAAAUCUGAUCAGAGAGGGUGAAAAUCCCGUAGGCGAAAUUGAUGAGAGGCUGGCAGGAUCCAGAGUACCACGAGACACGGGAAACCUUGUGGGAAGCAGGAGGGACCACCCUCCAAGGCUAAAUACUCCUCAGUGACCGAUAGCGCAUAGUACUGUGAAGGAAAGGUGAAAAGGACCCCGGGAGGGGAGUGAAAGAGAACCUGAAACCCUGUGUUUACAAGCUGUGGAAGUGCCUUAUGUGCACAACCGCGUACUUUUUGUAGAACGGUCCGGCGAGUUACGUUUACUGGCAAGGUUAAGUACUAUAGGUACGGAGCCGAAGGGAAACCAAGUCUUAAGAGGGCGUGAAGUCAGUAAGAGUAGACCCGAAACCGGGUGAUCUACCCAUGUCCAGGCUGAAGCUGCCGUAAGAGGUAGUGGAGGGCCGAACGCACAUCCGUUGAAAAGGGUGGCGAUGAGGUGUGGGUAGGGGAGAAAUUCCAAUCGAACCCGGAGAUAGCUGGUUCUCCUCGAAAUAGCUUUAGGGCUAGCCUCGAUGGAGUCUUACGGAGGUAGAGCACUGAAUUUCUAAGGGGGCGUCAAAGCUUACCAAGGGAUAUCAAACUCCGAAUGCCGUAAAGAUGCUCAUCGGGAGUCAGACUGCACGAGAUAAGUUGGGCAGUCAAAAGGGAAAGAGCCCAGACCUGCUGCUAAGGUCCCAAAGUACGUGUUAAGUGGAAAAGGAUGUGGGAUUUCGAAGACAACUAGGAUGUUGGCUCAGAAGCAGCCACACAUUCAAAGAGUGCGUAAUAGCUCACUAGUCGAGAGGUCCUGCGCCGAAAAUGUCCGGGGCUGAAACACGACACCGAAGCACAGGAUACCGCAAGGUAUGGUAGAGGAGCAUUGCUGGCGCGAUGAAGCAGUACCGUAAGGAGCUGUGGAGUGCCAGGAAGAGAGAAUGCCGGAAUGAGUAGCGAGAGAGAGGUGGGAAUCCUCUCGGCCGAAUAUCCAAGGUUUCCAGGGUAAAGCUGAUCUGCCCUGGGUAAGUCGGGGCCUAAGGAGAGGCAGAAAUGCGUAUCCGAUGGACAGCAGGUUGAGAUUCCUGCACUAUCUUAAAACAGAACUGUGGGGACAUUUGUGGAGAGCACAGGCGCGGAACGGAAAGCCGCGUGCAAGCGAAGGAGGAGUCACAUAGGAAAAACCGUGUGGCAAUCCAAAGGCGUGAUGCGGACCGAACUAGAGUAGGGAAGUGUGUGAGCCAUGAAUCAAGAAAAGCCGCUAUUGUUUUUAAGAUACCCGUACCGUAAACCGACACAGGUGGAUGAGGAGAGAAUCCUAAGGCCGGCGGAAGAAGCAUUGUUAAGGAACUCGGCAAAAUGACCCCGUAACUUCGGGAGAAGGGGUGCCAACGAGAGUUGGCCGCAGAGAAUAGGCUCAAGCAACUGUUUAGCAAAAACACAGGUCUAUGCAAAACCGUAAGGUGAGGUAUAUGGGCUGACGCCUGCCCGGUGCUGGAAGGUUAAGAGGAGAGGUUAGCGCAAGCGAAGCUUUGAAUUUAAGCCCCAGUAAACGGCGGCCGUAACUAUAACGGUCCUAAGGUAGCGAAAUUCCUUGUCGGGUAAGUUCCGACCCGCACGAAAGGCGUAAUGAUUUGAGCGCUGUCUCGACAA
Molecule: ribosomal RNA, 1987 nt
Filed under: human gut metagenome
Description: bacterial LSU rRNA
Rfam family: Bacterial large subunit ribosomal RNA
Source: RNAcentral